UGGCUCUCGCAUCGAUGAAGAACGCAGCGAAAUGCGAUAAGUAAUGUGAAUUGCAGAAUUCAGUGAAUCAUCGAAUCUUUGAACGCACCUUGCACCCUUUGGUAUUCCGAAGGGUAUGCCUGUUUGAGUGUCAUUAAAUUCUCAACCUUUUGUGAUUUUUUGUAAUCACAAAGGCUUGGACUGUGGAGGUCAGUGCUGGCUUAUCGUGUCGGCUCCUCUGAAAUGCAUUAGCGCUCCCAUGUGGAUUAGGCUUUGGACUGAUAAUUAUCAUCUAUGCCAACAGCACUAUGACGCUUGAGUGACUCACAUAUUACAUUUGACAAUUUGACCUCAAAUCAGGUAGGACUACCCGCUGA
RNAcentral lists this unclassified non-coding RNA (356 nucleotides) under uncultured fungus. RNAcentral's name for it is "partial contains 5.8S ribosomal RNA and internal transcribed spacer 2". The stretch from base 1 to 133 matches the Rfam family "5.8S ribosomal RNA", at positions 22 to 154 of the family's 154-position model. Lineage: Eukaryota; Fungi. The record is from RNAcentral.